Poecilia reticulata (guppy) is the source of this 787-nucleotide long non-coding RNA. RefSeq lists it as uncharacterized. NCBI's taxonomy places the organism in Eukaryota, Metazoa, Chordata, Actinopteri, Cyprinodontiformes, Poeciliidae. The record is from RefSeq and is a predicted model, not a curated record.
CAUAUUCAACUGUUUCUCAUUCACACAAUGAUCACUGACAAGUUUUGUAUUAAACACUUGAACAAUAUCUGAUACAGCCACAAGAUGUCAGUAGUGCAAUUAAUGGCGCGACUGUUGUCGUUUGUUUGACCUGUAUGAAGUUUUUAUUUACUGCUAGCUUUCUUUAAAACAGAUCAGGACGCAGUGUCUGUUUUGCUAUUUUUUUUUUUAAAGAAAAAAAGUUCCGAAACCUCACUCUGCAAGGUUUCGGAACUUAAUGGCCAUGACGGUUGAGUUCUCAGUUUGGUUUUGAGCCCAGACAAUGCAACUGUAGCAACUGUUGCUGGAGAUGAAACUAUUCGUCUAUGGAAGUCCUUCGAAAUGGAUCCUGUAAAGAAGGCCAAGGAGAGGCUGGUCAAUUCGGCUAGCAGCGUCAUUCAUCAGUCAAUCAGAUAACUUCCCUUGUUUGUUCUUUUAUGUCAUAGAUCCAUGACUGGCCGCAGUCUGGGUGGUGAGAACAAAAGCAAAAGGAUACAGGCUCCAGUUUACUAUAACAUCAUCUUGGUUUAGGGGGAUUCUGAUUUUCCAGAGCUGAUUGAAGUGUCUCUCACAACCUCUCUGGACCAGGAAACAUCAGCUCCGGUUGGAAUUAAAGACGUCUGAAGACAGAUGGUUUCAAGCGGCAAAGUUCUUCCUUGAACCUGCAGCAAAGGGGGAAAUGACUGGUUCCUACUAUGAGGAUCUCUGAGCCGAUCUCCAGCCCCCAUCGGCUGAGCUCCUUCACACUUUCAGGAUUGGAGCUGAUGUU